GUCCUGAUAAGGUGUAGUGGUUUGAGCGUUAGACUACGAUUCUGGAGACCAGGGUUCGGAUCACGGUUGGGCCA
Phrynosoma platyrhinos (Desert horned lizard) is the source of this 74-nucleotide non-coding RNA. NCBI's taxonomy places the organism in Eukaryota, Metazoa, Chordata, Lepidosauria, Squamata, Phrynosomatidae. The record is from the annotation of a GenBank genome assembly.